GUGGUGGAGGGGGCAGAGGGGAAGGUGAAGGAGGUGGUGGAGGGAAUGGUGAAGGAGGUGGUGGAACAACUGGAGACGGAUAAGGUAAGGGUGGAGGAGGGGAUGGUGGAUGAGGUGGUGGAACGGUUGGAGAUGGAUAAGGAUAUGGUGCAAAAGGUGGUUGAGGGGAUGGGGGCGGAGGUGGUGGAGGGAAUAGUGGAACGUCUGGAGAUGGCGGAGGGGAUGGUGGAGGAGGUGGUGGAACGAUCGGAGACGGAUAAGGAAAUGGUGCAGAAGGCGGUGGAGGGGGUGGAGGGGAUGGUGGAGUAGGUGGUGGAAUGGCUGGAGACGGAUAAGGAGAUGGCUCGGAAGGUGGUGGAGGGGGCGGAGACGGAGAUGGUGCAGAAGGUGGUGGAGGGGGAGAAGUAGAUGGAGGAGGUGCAGAAGGUGGUGGAGGGGGAGAAGGGGAUGGAGGAGGUGGUGGAAUGGCUGAAGAUGGGGGAGUGGGCAGAGGGAAUGGUGGAGGAGGUGGUUGAACGGCCGGAGAUGGAUAAGGAGAUAAUACAAAAGAUAAUUCCUUCGUCGGAUAAGAAGCCAAUGAAUUAAUGGCACAAACACCAUAUGGCAAAUCACCGUUUCUUCUUAUAUAUCCAUACCCCUCCACUCCCCAUGAUGUACCCCAUGAAUUCUUGAUUAUCCAGUAGUCAU
This 687-nucleotide long non-coding RNA is filed under the name Solanum tuberosum (potato). RNAcentral's name for it is "long non-coding RNA (STUB_LNC002993)". Lineage: Eukaryota; Viridiplantae; Streptophyta; Magnoliopsida; Solanales; Solanaceae. The record is from RNAcentral.